This 207-nucleotide ribosomal RNA is filed under the name uncultured bacterium. Its description in RNAcentral is "partial 16S ribosomal RNA". It matches the Rfam family "Bacterial small subunit ribosomal RNA", at positions 568 to 774 of the family's 1533-position model. The record is from RNAcentral.
AGCGCAGACGGUUAUUUAAGCAAGAUGUGAAAGCCCCGGGCUCAACCUGGGAACUGCGUUUUGAACUGGGUAGCUAGAGUGUGUCAGAGGGGGGUAGAAUUCCACGUGUAGCAGUGAAAUGCGUAGAGAUGUGGAGGAAUACCGAUGGCGAAGGCAGCCCCCUGGGAUAACACUGACGUUCAUGCUCGAAAGCGUGGGUAGCAAACA